Onychostoma macrolepis is the source of this 3978-nucleotide RNA transcript. RefSeq lists it as uncharacterized. NCBI's taxonomy places the organism in Eukaryota, Metazoa, Chordata, Actinopteri, Cypriniformes, Cyprinidae. The record is from RefSeq and is a predicted model, not a curated record. The transcript has 7 exons.
GAAGCAGACACCGCCCAUCUCUACAAGUGAAGAAUACUUUACUUUUCCUCACGACUUCAGUUCAACGAACACAACGCCGCAGUUUCAGCUUGAAAUAAGUAGUUUAAGAAGCUGAGCAUAUAACGCUGUUCAGAGAAGAAAGAGAGUCACGCAGGUCUGGAGGGACGUAAAGAAGCAGGCAUGAGUGCUGAUAAUGUGCUGCUGCUGUUCACACUGCUUUGGACUUUCACAGCUGUCUGUCAAGCUGAUGAAGAGAUCAGUUUAAGCUGUGAUGAUGUGACUGGAUCUGUGGGGAAAGAAGUAACUCUCAGCUGCAGCGUCUCUCUGCCGAACGCUGACUGCUGCAUUGAUUUUUUUAAAUACUAUGAGAUGUAUGAAGGCUCAGUAAUCUGUAUGAAUUGGUUUCUUCGUGACUCCUGUGAACACAGAAACAGCUUCACAUGCCGCUACACUCCAACUACAGCAAUGACAGAACAAUUCAGAUUCUUUGUGGUUACAACAUGUGGAGUGAAGGGAACAGAAUUCACUGUGGACUUAUCAGACCCCACUAAACCUGAAAUUGACAUUGAACAUCCUGAGAUCAGUGUAAGCUGUGAUGAUGUGACUGGAUCUGUGGGGAAAGAAGUAACUCUCAGCUGCAGCGUCUCUCUGCCGAACGCUGACUGCUGCAUUGAUUUUUUUAAAUACUAUGAGAUGUAUGAAGGCUCAGUAAUCUGUAUGAAUUGGUUUCUUCGUGACUCCUGUGAACACAGAAACCGCUUCACAUGCCGCUACACUCCAACUACAGCAAUGACAGAACAAUUCAGAUUCUUUGUGGUUACAACAUGUGGAGUGAAGGGAACAGAAUUCACUGUGGACUUAUCAGGUAUACUGUUUAUUUAUCAUUCACUAAAUCUUUGUACAUUUAUGUUGAAUCUAGUAACACUGGUUUAAAAUCUGUUAACAUAGCUCUUGAUACGUGAAACUGAUCCUGAAGCUCCUGACGAGACAGGACACCAAGAUUUUGAGGCCAGUGGAGGUCAACACAUGGAAGAAGUUGAGCGGGACCCAGAUUAAUAAAGAAUUCUACUAUAUGACACAAUACUGAUUUCAAGAAAUGCAUGUAGAGAGUGAAAUUCCUCUUAAAGCAACACGGAAACACCUCGCUGGAGGCUCAACACCGGAGGCUUGUAUUGUUUGAGAUGAUGGACAACUUUCAACAAGCUGCGUUCAUAUUUUGACACGUGUGAUUUAACAACUUCAUGUGCAUUUAGAGCUGAUUCAAUGCGUUAAAAACCUGUGAGGGACAGAUUUUGCAAUGACAGAUUCUCUCAAGUGUUUAUUAAUGGAUUCAGUUUCAUUUAUAUAUCACUCCCCACAAUGCUAGUAGUUCUAAAGCAGCUUUAUUAAAAAACAAUGUGCCACACACAGAGGAAAUCUCUCUAUUGUGUUGCAUUAGUACACCGCCUGCACUCUUUGAUGGAGGUCAUGUGUGUAACUAUAACACGGAGGAGCAGUGCCAUUAAAGCUCUUGCCAUAUUAAACUGAUUAAUAAUCAGAUUCUGAUCACCAAACCAGAAAUGAGCCAAUAUCGUCACUUUUGUUUUAAUGUAUUGGAAUGGCGUUUGGUCUGUCGUCAUCAUUAUGGCAUGAAGGGGAAUCAUCAGUACUGCUGGUCAACAGUGUUAUAGAUUAUACACCUGUGUGUCACGUUCUGUCGUGAAAGAGAAAGUUUAGUAUUUAUAGCUGGAGAGAGUCAGAGCUGAAUGAACUCACGCAGAGCACAGGUGAGCAAUAACUCUCUCUAUAUUCACUAAUUCAUAACCCGCUGCUGGAAAACCAUCAAUACAUGCACGGUGCUUUCCUAAUAUGUGAUUCACGCAGACAUUUCAAAACGCCUAUGAAUAUAGACAACUUACUCUGUGAGUACUGUGUAAUUAUCCUAUCCUGCAUUACUUGAAAUAUAAGUCAUCUAAAGCUGCAUUAGAUGUUGGUGUUUCCUGAAGCAUAAAGGAAGAGUUCACGAAUAGAAAACCAAAAUAUAUAUAAAAUUCUGUCAUCAUUUAAUCACGCUUGGGUCAUUUUAAACUCAUUACAAACCAUGAAAGUUGUCCAUGUGGCUUUGAGUAUCACCUAAAAUAUUCUUAAUUGAACUGAUUUAAUCCAAUCAAACUUUUGCUGAUAAAUGUUGACGUUUCUUCUGAGCUUUCAGUAACUCUUCCUCUGUAAUCUACUUUGUAAUCUGUAGUGCUUCCUUAUCAGUCCUCAGUUUCAUUAUUACAUUGUCUUUCCACAAAGGCAGUAAUAGAUGGUUAUCUUUGCUGUUGGUUUAGCUUGAUCAAGUAUAUCCAACAUGUCAGUCAUUAAUAUCGCUUUAGGUAUUACAUUCUGACAGAUUUUACUGUAACACAAAAAUCUCUUAAAUAAAACAUUUGACUUCAUAUUCUCAUAUUUUUGUGCAGAAUUGGACUGUUGUCUUGAUGGAAUCCAUGUGUUCUGCACAGAUCGAUGGGCUUUCAGUGGCCGUUAUAUUACAAACACAUCUUUGACCAGCAACACUAGAGCUGUCUUCUCUCAGUGAACACAUGCUUGCUUCCAGACGUCCGCCACGGUCUCGUUGUUUAAGGUCUCACGGUAAACCCUCAUAUACCUGUGGAGGAAAAGCACAUUCCUGGAUAAUAUAUUAGUCGUGGGUUUCAGAGAAUAAACGAGAUCCUUUACUGACUUGAGAAUGUGUGAAGAUAGUAAAGCUCUUACGGAGAGAACAACCUGUCAAAGACCCCCGGAUCAUUGCCCCAAAUAUACCACCAGCCUUUAACCUAAAACAUCUCCUGUGAAUCACAGAAUAUAAAUAUAUACUUUUAAAUCACCAAAAAAUGUAAAACAUUACAUAAAAUAAGUCAAUUGUGUUCUUUAUCAAUCAAGUUUGGCCUGUUCACACCAAGAACUAUAACUAUAUCUUUGUCUAUAAGGUUAUAACAAUUAUUCUAAUCUUUCUAAGAGAAUUGAGAAGUUCACAUCAUAACUAUAACAAUAGCGACACAGAGGAAAUAUACUGGUCUAAAUUAUUAUUUUGGAGGUUUAAAAGACAAUUAAUAUUCAGUAAUAACUAAGUUAAGCUGGAUAAUGACACUAACUUUACAACAUCCACGCUGUUAUUGAACACUUAAACUGAACAAUUACACGAUUGUCUUCUGUAUCGCUGCUUCACAGAUCAAACUGAAUGUGUUUCAUCAUUAACUUUGCAACAUUUCCCUGUUUAUUAAAAUGAGAAAUUGCUUUGAAACAAUCUGUAUUACACAAAGUGUUAUAUGUAAGUAAACGUGACAAAAUAAAUAAAUGUGAAAUAAGUAAAUAACUUCUUAAGAGAAAUACUAAACAUAAGAUCUUGAAACAAAAUGAGAACAAUUAAAAAGAAAAAAAAUCUUCUGUAGCUUCUUAAAAGCAAAAAAAAAAAAAAGAUUUAUACACAAAAUUAGAACAAUUCACACUGAUCAUACUGUUAAUAGGUUAUUGUUUACAACCCCAUGUUGAGUUCUUGAACACUAAUGAAUGUUUGAAUAUUCACUGAUAUUCAUUUAAACUUGUUCACAUAACUAAUGAACUUUGCAGCAUUCACAUUGUUAUUGAACUGAACUGAAUCAACACUGAACUCAAUUAAUCUGAAUAAUGACACUGUUGUCUGUUUAGAGCUGCUUUACAGCUAAAUUUGAUUCAUAAAUGAAGAACACUGCAGCUUUACUGGUAUUUUCUUGUUUAUUACUGUCAAUACUGCUAUAGAAAUAAAUCUGACUUGACUUGAAUGUUUGAAUCUUAUAGUAUGAGUCCUCAGUGAAAGAAGAUGGAUCUCAGAAUCAUACAGUCACUGUUGGAAGGGGUUCAAAUAUGCAGAAGAUGCUGAAAAACCACAGAACGAGCAGAACCCAGAAGACCUUUCUGAAGAACUGGAGGCAGUUUAAAUGCUCAGGACUCAUUAAAGCCAUACAUUAAUCCACUUCU